Molecule: microRNA precursor, 81 nt
Organism: Pan troglodytes (chimpanzee)
Lineage: Eukaryota; Metazoa; Chordata; Mammalia; Primates; Hominidae
Source: Ensembl
UAUUAAUAUGGAAGGGAGAAGAGCUUUAAUGAUGGGAGUCAUUUUCAGAGCAUUAAAGCUUUUCUCCCUUCCAUAUUAAUG